AGUUUGAUCCUGGCUCAGGAUGAACACUAGCUACAGGCUUAACACAUGCAAGUCGAGGGGCAUCGGGAUUGAAGCUUGCUUCAAUUGCCGGCGACCGGCGCACGGGUGAGUAACGCGUAUCCAACCUUCCGUACACUCAGGGAUAGCCUUUCGAAAGAAAGAUUAAUACCUGAUGGUAUGAUGAGAUUGCAUGAUAGCAUCAUUAAAGAUUUAUCGGUGUACGAUGGGGAUGCGUUCCAUUAGGUAGUAGGCGGGGUAACGGCCCACCUAGCCGACGAUGGAUAGGGGUUCUGAGAGGAAGGUCCCCCACAUUGGAACUGAGACACGGUCCAAACUCCUACGGGAGGCAGCAGUGAGGAAUAUUGGUCAAUGGACGAGAGUCUGAACCAGCCAAGUAGCGUGAAGGAUGAAGGUCCUACGGAUUGUAAACUUCUUUUAUAAGGGAAUAAAAUCUCCCACGUGUGGGAGCUUGUAUGUACCUUAUGAAUAAGCAUCGGCUAACUCCGUGCCAGCAGCCGCGGUAAUACGGAGGAUGCGAGCGUUAUCCGGAUUUAUUGGGUUUAAAGGGAGCGCAGACGGGUCGUUAAGUCAGCUGUGAAAGUUUGGGGCUCAACCUUAAAAUUGCAGUUGAUACUGGCGUCCUUGAGUGCGGUUGAGGUGUGCGGAAUUCGUGGUGUAGCGGUGAAAUGCUUAGAUAUCACGAAGAACUCCGAUUGCGAAGGCAGCACACUAAGCCGUAACUGACGUUCAUGCUCGAAAGUGUGGGUAUCAAACAGGAUUAGAUACCCUGGUAGUCCACACGGUAAACGAUGGAUACUCGCUGUUGGCGAUAUACGGUCAGCGGCUUAGCGAAAGCGUUAAGUAUCCCACCUGGGGAGUACGCCGGCAACGGUGAAACUCAAAGGAAUUGACGGGGGCCCGCACAAGCGGAGGAACAUGUGGUUUAAUUCGAUGAUACGCGAGGAACCUUACCCGGGCUUAAAUUGCAAAGGAAUAAUCUGGAAACAGAUUAGUCUUCGGACCUUUGUGAAGGUGCUGCAUGGUUGUCGUCAGCUCGUGCCGUGAGGUGUCGGCUUAAGUGCCAUAACGAGCGCAACCCUCGCCGCCAGUUACUAACAGUUAAAGCUGAGGACUCUGGCGGGACUGCCAUCGUAAGAUGUGAGGAAGGUGGA
This 1172-nucleotide ribosomal RNA is filed under the name uncultured Bacteroides sp. Its description in RNAcentral is "bacterial SSU rRNA". It matches the Rfam family "Bacterial small subunit ribosomal RNA", at positions 10 to 1177 of the family's 1533-position model. The record is from RNAcentral. Lineage: Bacteria; Pseudomonadati; Bacteroidota; Bacteroidia; Bacteroidales; Bacteroidaceae.